This 1205-nucleotide ribosomal RNA is filed under the name Lactiplantibacillus plantarum. RNAcentral describes it as "bacterial SSU rRNA". It matches the Rfam family "Bacterial small subunit ribosomal RNA", at positions 38 to 1204 of the family's 1533-position model. The record is from RNAcentral. Lineage: Bacteria; Bacillati; Bacillota; Bacilli; Lactobacillales; Lactobacillaceae.
GGCGGUGGGGGGUCUAUACAUGCAAGUCGACGAACUCUGGUAUUGAUUGGUGCUUGCAUCAUGAUUUACAUUUGAGUGAGUGGCGAACUGGUGAGUAACACGUGGGAAACCUGCCCAGAAGCGGGGGAUAACACCUGGAAACAGAUGCUAAUACCGCAUAACAACUUGGACCGCAUGGUCCGAGUUUGAAAGAUGGCUUCGGCUAUCACUUUUGGAUGGUCCCGCGGCGUAUUAGCUAGAUGGUGGGGUAACGGCUCACCAUGGCAAUGAUACGUAGCCGACCUGAGAGGGUAAUCGGCCACAUUGGGACUGAGACACGGCCCAAACUCCUACGGGAGGCAGCAGUAGGGAAUCUUCCACAAUGGACGAAAGUCUGAUGGAGCAACGCCGCGUGAGUGAAGAAGGGUUUCGGCUCGUAAAACUCUGUUGUUAAAGAAGAACAUAUCUGAGAGUAACUGUUCAGGUAUUGACGGUAUUUAACCAGAAAGCCACGGCUAACUACGUGCCAGCAGCCGCGGUAAUACGUAGGUGGCAAGCGUUGUCCGGAUUUAUUGGGCGUAAAGCGAGCGCAGGCGGUUUUUUAAGUCUGAUGUGAAAGCCUUCGGCUCAACCGAAGAAGUGCAUCGGAAACUGGGAAACUUGAGUGCAGAAGAGGACAGUGGAACUCCAUGUGUAGCGGUGAAAUGCGUAGAUAUAUGGAAGAACACCAGUGGCGAAAGCGGCUGUCUGGUCUGUAACUGACGCUGAGCUCGAAAGUAUGGGUAGCAAACAGGAUUAGAUACCCUGGUAGUCCAUACCGUAAACGAUGAAUGCUAAGUGUUGGAGGGGUUUCCGCCCUUCAGUGCUGCAGCUAACGCAUUAAGCAGUCCGCCUGGAGGGAGUACGGCCGCAAGGCUGAAACUCAAACGGAGUUGACGGGGUGGCCCGCCACAAGCUGUGGGAGCAUGUGGGUGUACUUCCGAAGCUACGCGAGCAGCAUGACCAGGUCUUGGACAUACGAUUGCUAAUGCUAAAAGACUAGAACGUUCCGUACCCUACUUGAUACAUGUGGUGCAUGGUGUACGUCAGCUCAUGUCGUCGAGAUGCUUGGGCUUAAGGUCCGUCAGCGUAUGCCAACCAUGACUAUCCAUUGCCAUGCAGUAGACUUCGCUACCCGUGGGUCAACUUGGCGGGAUCAAUGUGAGCUGAUGAUACCAUACUCACUG